UACCUGCAGCUCUAGUGGUGACCGCUAUUAUUGGGCCUAAAACGUCCGUAGCCUGCUUAUUAAAUGCCUGGGUAAAUCGUAUGGCUCAACCAUACGAAUUCCGGGUAGACUGAUAGGCUUGGGACCGGGAGAAGCUAGAGGUACUCAUAGGGUAGAGGUGAAAUUCUGUAAUCCUAGGGGGACCACCAGUGGCGAAGGCGUCUAGCUAGAACGGGUUUGACGGUGAGGGACGAAGCCCUGGGGAGCAAACGGGAUUAGAUACCCGCGUA
RNAcentral lists this ribosomal RNA (269 nucleotides) under uncultured prokaryote. RNAcentral describes it as "partial 16S ribosomal RNA". It matches the Rfam family "Archaeal small subunit ribosomal RNA", at positions 474 to 743 of the family's 1478-position model. The record is from RNAcentral.